RNAcentral lists this long non-coding RNA (1216 nucleotides) under Cricetulus griseus (Chinese hamster). RNAcentral describes it as "lncRNA (ENSCGRG00000024550.1)". The record is from RNAcentral. Lineage: Eukaryota; Metazoa; Chordata; Mammalia; Rodentia; Cricetidae.
GAGAGGGCUCAUUUCCACAGCAGACAAUGAACAGGUGACCUUCCAGCUGCAGCUCCUGGCGUGAGCCUCAGUGUCUUCCUGGUUUCAGGCUCUGCCCCUUCACGUAACUACUCAUCCUCUAAAGCCCCCCACCCCCUACCCGGUAGAAGUCUUUUUUACCAUGCCUACCGAUUCACAGAUGGUCUAAUUGGGAGGUUUUAGUUCUGUGCUCCUGGCCCCUCAGCUGAUAAACUCCAGCUGUAUUGAGUCAUCCACUCCUACACUAUACCCUGACCUUCUGUCGGACGGACUUACACAGCCUCUGUACCAAAACAAUCAGACUACCCUAGGCAGCAUGCUCCUGUGCUUUCACUUUCUUGAUGAUUCUAGCAGCAAUUAGAUAAACAUACAAUGCAUACAUUGUAACAAUAAGUCUUUCGCCCUGCUGCCCAAGUUACACAGAGACUUACAUUAGGUACAAAUGCUGCUUGGCCAAUGACUAGGAUUCUUAUCUGUUAGCUCAGUCUUAAUUAUCAUAAAUCUAUAUAUUCUAUAAGACUUAUGGGAUGUCAGAGGCAAGCGCCCUGUCUUCCUGGGCUCACAUGGUGACUCUGUGCUUUUUCCUACCUUUCCCAGAAUCCUCCUUGCCUCCUAGUCCCACCUACCUUGUUUCCCUAUUGGCCAACAGUACUUUAUUUAUCAACCAAUAAGACAAUCAUAUACACAGGACCUCCUCCACCAAUACAUAGUUCAUAUGUCAUAUGCAUAUUAUACAGAAUUUAUAUAUGUACCAGGGCUUUUCUUUUGGGCCACCGACCAUGAAAGGUUCAGGCUUUUGAUGCUGAUCGGCUCUACCUCUUUAAGAGACAGACCCCGCCCCCUGACAAUACUCAGGGCAUGCGCAAGAAAACGUGCUACAUCAUCACCACGUCACCGGUCACCCAUGAUGACUCUGGACAUGCGUGGACCCUCAGUGUGCAGAAGAGGACCUUGCCCUGGGCUGGAAGCAACCACCCUUAAAUGCAGAAAUGAGGUUGAGCUCACUCUGGGGUCUAGCAGCCGGAAUGCCCUCUUGCUGAGAUUCAGAACAGAUGAAUCAACCCCACAGCAGCCCUCUGAGGACAAGGCCACAGCAGGGCUCCUUCAGUGCUACCCCACCCCCAGCUUGGUGAACAGUGGAGAACUCUGCCUGCCAGAAGGGCUGGGAGGAUUUAUGCAACAGACUGCACAUAUUUAA